UGAAGGCUCUGGUAGAGGGCCACAGCGCGCGUCGCGCGUUUGAAGGUCAGCGCGGGAACGUGCGGAUCUCCUGAUCCAAUCAGAGAGCCUUCGG
Molecule: transfer RNA, 94 nt
Filed under: Sulfitobacter indolifex
Lineage: Bacteria; Pseudomonadati; Pseudomonadota; Alphaproteobacteria; Rhodobacterales; Roseobacteraceae
Description: tRNA-Ala
Source: RNAcentral